RNAcentral lists this ribosomal RNA (492 nucleotides) under uncultured bacterium. RNAcentral describes it as "partial 16S ribosomal RNA". It matches the Rfam family "Bacterial small subunit ribosomal RNA", at positions 29 to 507 of the family's 1533-position model. The record is from RNAcentral.
AUUGAACGCUGGCGGCAUGCUUUACACAUGCAAGUCGAACGGUAACAGGCCUUCGGGUGCUGACGAGUGGCGAACGGGUGAGUAAUGCAUCGGAACGUACCCAGAGGUGGGGGAUAACGCAGCGAAAGCUGUGCUAAUACCGCAUGUGAUCUGAGGAUGAAAGCGGGGGACCGAGCAGCAAUGUUUGGCCUCGCGCCUUUGGAGCGGCCGAUGUCGGAUUAGCUAGUUGGUGGGGUAAAGGCCUACCAAGGCGACGAUCCGUAGCUGGUCUGAGAGGACGGCCAGCCACACUGGGACUGAGACACGGCCCAGACUCCUACGGGAGGCAGCAGUGGGGAAUUUUGGACAAUGGGCGCAAGCCUGAUCCAGCAAUGCCGCGUGCGGGAAGAGGGCCUUCGGGUUGUAAACCGCUUUUGGCAGGAACGAAACGGUGUCCGCUAAUACCGGGCGCUAAUGACGGUACCUGCAGAAUAAGCACCGGCUAACUACGUG